RNAcentral lists this ribosomal RNA (502 nucleotides) under Bacillus sp. oral taxon F28. RNAcentral describes it as "bacterial SSU rRNA". It matches the Rfam family "Bacterial small subunit ribosomal RNA", at positions 28 to 493 of the family's 1533-position model. The record is from RNAcentral. Lineage: Bacteria; Bacillati; Bacillota; Bacilli; Caryophanales; Bacillaceae.
GACGAACGCUGGCGGCGUGCCUAAUACAUGCAAGUCGAGCGCGGGAAGCUUGCGGAAUCCUUCGGGAGGAAGUGAGCGGACCGAGCGGCGGACGGGUGAGUAACACGUGGGCAACCUGCCCGUAAGACGGGGAUAACCCCGGGAAACCGGGGCUAAUACCGGAUAGGUGACCUUUCUGCAUGGAGGGGUCAUGAAAGGCGGCGGAAGCCGUCGCUUACGGAGGGGCCCGCGGCGCAUUAGCUAGUUGGUGAGGGAAGGGCUCACCAAGGCGACGAUGCGUAGCCGGCCUGAGAGGGUGAACGGCCACACUGGGACUGAGACACGGCCCAGACUCCUACGGGAGGCAGCAGUAGGGAAUCUUCCGCAAUGGACGGAAGUCUGACGGAGCAACGCCGCGUGAGUGAGGAAGGCCUUCGGGUCGUAAAGCUCUGUUGUUCGUGAAGAAGGGGUUGGCCAGGAAAUGGGCCCGACCAUUGAACGGUAAGCGAAACCAAAAAAGCCC